GGAGAUUCACAUUCUGGACUUGCAGGUGACUUGUCUGCAAAAACUAUGUGAUGGCACCAUGUCAGUACGGACCAAAUCCCUGAGGAAUGUUUCCACUAUCUUGUUUGAUCUGUGCUAUGAAGAAUUAAAGCAGUUCUGAAGGCAAAAAGUGGUCCACCUCAGUACUAGCCAGGUGUACCUAUUAAAUGACUGGUGAGUGUUUGUUACAGACCAGACCUUUUUAUAGUUCUGGUAUGGUAUAUCUUUACCAUCUUGCUUUAGGGGAUGUAUUACAAAUGAGCCAUUGUAUUGUUUCCUGCAAUGGAGUUUACGCAACCUCUUGCGUAAAUGUGCAUUCUCUGUUGUUUUUCUAUCUUCCACUGAACACAAGCACCUUACUGAAGAGUGGACUAAUGAUGCUAAAUAUAAACUCUAGUAUUAAUUCUCUACAUACUUUUUACAGGAAGUUUCCCUCUGGAGUUAUGGUAUGGUCAUGGUGACAGUAGUGCUUUUCAAGCUUAUCUUCACUGUGAUAACGUUACACAGAACCUUUGCUGACAAGCCGGAUAUUGUGGGGAAAAAAGCAAAAGAAAAAAAAAAGCAGCAAAGAAACCAGGAGAUCAAUGUCCUUUAGGGUAAUAAACAACUUCAGAUUCAGUUAUUUGCAAUUGUCAGUGGAAAAGAUUAAAACACGUUUCCUCACACUGAAUUCUUGUGGUCUAUUUGAAAAUGACUGCUGUCUUCCAGAGGCAAUUGGUAGUAUAGUAUCAGCAAUUUUUGAUAGGUGGUUGGGCACAGAAAGAAUCUAAAGGCCAUGGUUAUCAUCUAUUAUUCAACCAUCAUUUUUUAGCUGCACUUUCUCCUGACUCACAGUGGACCUUUUGAGGGUUUGCCAUGGAAGACUGUUACCUUAUUUGAAAGAACCCUAUAGAUUUUCUUUACAUUUCUGAACAUUUUAUAUAAAAAAGAAAAAAAUACUGCAUUAUGCUUGAGUAAAUGAAACGCAGACUACUUAAACACAACACCAGCAAUCACUGGGUCUGGUUAAAACAUCCAAAAAAAAAGAGAAAAAGACUCUAUGCAGGGAAAAGUCUGUGAAGCAUGCUGGCCAUUUUGACUGGUCCGUUGGACCAAAAUACAGCGGGGAAAAUAAGUAUUUGACACAUCAGCAUUUUUAUCAGUAAGGGGAUUUCCAAGUAGACCAUUGACACAACAUUUCCACCAGAUGUUGCCAUCAAGCCAAAUAUUGACGUCAUACAAACAAAUCAGAACAUAUAAGUAUACAAGUUAAACCACAAUAAAUAAAGUGAAAUGACACAGGGAAUAAGUAUUGAAUACAUGGAGAUAACAAGGGGCAAAAUGACAUAGAAAGCCAGGAGAUCACCUGAAAUCUGUCAGUAUUGAUAGAGAAAUCCUGUCCCCUAUCAGUACUAAUUGAUAUCAGCUGCUUUAGUCCUAAUUGAUGGCCUAUAAAGGCUCCUCAUUACCC
Long non-coding RNA from Astatotilapia calliptera (eastern happy), 1468 nucleotides. Lineage: Eukaryota; Metazoa; Chordata; Actinopteri; Cichliformes; Cichlidae. The record is from Ensembl.